GACGAACGCUGGCGGCGUGCUUAACACAUGCAAGUCGAACGGAAAGGCCCUGCUUUUGUGGGGUGCUCGAUUGGCGAACGUGUGAGUAACACGUGAGUAACCUUCCCUUUACUUUGUGAUAACUUCAGGUAACUUGGGCUAAUACCGUAUAUGAUCUCCUGCUGCAUGGUGGUGGUUGGAUAUUUUCGGCGGUUGGGGAUGGACUCGCGGCUUUUCAGCUUGUUGGUGGGGUAGUGGCUUACCAAGGCUUUGACGGGUAGCCGGCCUGAGAGGGUGACCGGACAAAUUGGGACUGAGAUACGGACCAGACUGCAACGGGAGGCAGCAGGGGGGAAGAUUGAAGAAUGGGCGGAAGCCUGAUGAAGAAAAGCAGCGUGCGGGAUGAAGGCCUUCGGGUUGUAAACAGAUUUCGCAUGUGACGAAGAGAGAGUGACGGUAAUGGGUAAAGAAGCACCGGCUAACUACGUG
Molecule: ribosomal RNA, 468 nt
Filed under: uncultured bacterium
Lineage: Bacteria
Description: partial 16S ribosomal RNA
Rfam family: Bacterial small subunit ribosomal RNA
Source: RNAcentral